This 727-nucleotide long non-coding RNA is filed under the name Salvia miltiorrhiza (redroot sage). RNAcentral describes it as "long non-coding RNA (SMIL_LNC009499)". Lineage: Eukaryota; Viridiplantae; Streptophyta; Magnoliopsida; Lamiales; Lamiaceae. The record is from RNAcentral.
UUCAUUUACUUUAUGUAGAUUUUCUUAAUUUGUGUGCCCCAUUUUUUUUGAAAUAUUAUAAAUGAGACGGAUGAAGUAUAACUUUUUCAUCAUUUUUCUCUUCGCUUUCAAUUUCUGAUGUUUUUAUUUUUAUUUUUUUAUUGUAUUUGAGACGUCUACAAAAAUUAAUCAUUUUCUAUUUUUGGAAACUUUUUAUAACAUGUCGAUAAUUACUAAAUAUAACACUACAAUAAAAUAUUUCAAUAUACACAUAAUUUUUUUUAUAAAUGGUGACAUCCAUAAAUGUAACUAAUUAAAAUUGUGACAUGUUAUAGUUGAGUAGCUAUUAUGCGUAUCACAAAAGAGUAGAAACAUACCACUAAAUUUGGUGAUAUUAAUUUUAAUGAGUAACUAUUGUUUUGAUAUUAUUAAAUUGUGGCUAUUAUUAAAGGAAAAGGAAAAACGGACUUAAGAACCUUUGAAAGCACAAGAAAGCAAACUAAGGGCCGAGCCUCAUUAAAACCUCAGUAAGGAAAAUCCAGAGGGAAAAGCCCUACAGAAAAAAAAGGAAAAAAGAAAAAAAGAGAGUGCUCGUCUAUAAAACAAAACAACACGAAAAGGUGGGACAGAGCAUGGAAGGCAAUUUCAAAGGCUCUGGCCUAACCAUCGCCCCUAAGUCGCUGUGGCUCUGCCCAACCCAAAAAAUUGAGACCACGAGAAAUCUGAUGCAUGGAGACAACCCCCAAAC